CGACAAUUCUACUCUUACAAGACAGCACAUACUUGCUGCAACUUCCACUGAUUUAUAUCAAACCUUUGCUGCCAUCUACCACAGAUCCAAAACUUUCAUCCACAGCCCUAAAACGCCACUAAACCACACCCUCAAACUGCAUCCAAAACAGCCACAAAACAAGCCUAAAUCGUAGCCUACAUCCACCGAUCCACCAACCCUUUCGACCACACUUCUCUCAACCUAUACAUGCCUUUAACCUAA
RNAcentral lists this long non-coding RNA (243 nucleotides) under Musa acuminata (dwarf banana). RNAcentral's name for it is "long non-coding RNA (MACU_LNC009426)". The record is from RNAcentral. Lineage: Eukaryota; Viridiplantae; Streptophyta; Magnoliopsida; Zingiberales; Musaceae.